AUUGAACGCUGGCGGCAGGCCUAACACAUGCAAGUCGAACGGUAGCACAGAGGAGCUUGCUCCUUGGGUGACGAGUGGCGGACGGGUGAGUAAUGUCUGGGAAACUGCCCGAUGGAGGGGGAUAACUACUGGAAACGGUAGCUAAUACCGCAUAACGUCGCAAGACCAAAGAGGGGGACCUUCGGGCCUCUUGCCAUCGGAUGUGCCCAGAUGGGAUUAGCUAGUAGGUGGGGUAACGGCUCACCUAGGCGACGAUCCCUAGCUGGUCUGAGAGGAUGACCAGCCACACUGGAACUGAGACACGGUCCAGACUCCUACGGGAGGCAGCAGUGGGGAAUAUUGCACAAUGGGCGCAAGCCUGAUGCAGCCAUGCCGCGUGUAUGAAGAAGGCCUUCGGGUUGUAAAGUACUUUCAGCGAGGAGGAAGGCGUUGU
This 433-nucleotide ribosomal RNA is filed under the name uncultured Enterobacterales bacterium. RNAcentral describes it as "bacterial SSU rRNA". It matches the Rfam family "Bacterial small subunit ribosomal RNA", at positions 30 to 457 of the family's 1533-position model. Lineage: Bacteria; Pseudomonadati; Pseudomonadota; Gammaproteobacteria; Enterobacterales. The record is from RNAcentral.